AAAUUUUUAAAAAUUAUUAAAAAAAUUGGGGUCCUAUAUUGUAGGUGGAGUAUGGCACGCCGAAAGGGUCACAAACAAAAUGUUUAAAUUAAAAAAAAAAAAAAGGUUUCGGCAGAACGCCAUCUAGCGGUCAAAUAUAGAACUGCACGCAAAAUUCCCUUUUCUUGCCCCAAAACGCGAAAUUUUCUUCGCUUAUUAUUGGUCAGAACGUGAGAAGUUGUAACAUCUGAUGAGUCAACAACCAUCGUUAAUAAGCUAGCUUCGAAAAUUACCAAUGAUUCAUAGUCAGAGUAAACGUGAAAGUCAUGCAACCUACCGUCAACUAUUUUGUUCAAACUCAUUGUAUUCUACUGAAUGUGUCAUCGAAAUGAUACAGAUCACCGACCCCAGCAUGGAACAAUCUCUCAUUCCAUCUUAUAGAGAAUCUUUGAUAACUGAUUGAUGAUUUCAUGUGUUUCUUAAUUGGCAUGACUGACUUUAUGAGAAGUUAGGUCCUUCCAAGAAAAAGGACUUACAGUCAACAAGAUUCCUUGUUUGCUAACACGUUGGCUGCUACCCUUGAAUCUCCCUGUAUUUGUCAACGACAAAAAAAGAGGUUAAAUAUUGUGAUCAUGCCUAUCAUCAUUAUGUUGCCUAGAAGACCAAAUGUGGGGCAUCUGGUUAUCCCUCGACUAAUGACCACACGUUCAACGCGGAUCAUUCGCUUUGUCAUCGAACUUGACUCAUUCCAUCCUCUGGAUUGCUUAGGAAAGCUGAUUGGUGUUACCUGUCCAUUUAGGUAAUGACCGAGAAGAUGCGGCCUACAUGAACAUCAUUUAGGCGGCCAGCAUCGUUCGACUACCCAACCGGCUUCUACUACCCUGCUCUCAACACAGCACGGAGUUUUACCCUUAGAUUUUUGGCUGUUCGCGAUGUGUGAUGGCGUUUCCUUGGACGAGAUGAUGAUUUUGGCGAGAAAAAUAUUGCGUUCUAACCUUCAGGUUCCUAAAUAUGAAAAGUAAUGUUCUUUCAAGAAAGUCAACGAGGUCCCUUACUCCCUUGUUUGCUAACCCAAUGGCUGCUACCCUUGAAUCUCCCUAUUUAGCUCCUUACACAGUCCCUCUUGAUUUUAGGGUAAUCCUUCGCUACUGAUCAUGGACUCCAUUGGUGAAACUGAAAAUCGAC
RNAcentral lists this long non-coding RNA (1164 nucleotides) under Daphnia pulicaria. RNAcentral's name for it is "uncharacterized LOC124316083, transcript variant X3". The record is from RNAcentral. Lineage: Eukaryota; Metazoa; Arthropoda; Branchiopoda; Diplostraca; Daphniidae.